Molecule: ribosomal RNA, 185 nt
Filed under: uncultured Glomus
Lineage: Eukaryota; Fungi; Glomeromycota; Glomeromycetes; Glomerales; Glomeraceae
Description: partial 18S ribosomal RNA
Rfam family: Eukaryotic small subunit ribosomal RNA
Source: RNAcentral
AGCAGCCGCGGUAAUUCCAGCUCCAAUAGCGUAUAUUAAAGUUGUUGCAGUUAAAAAGCUCGUAGUCGGAUGCAAGACAAGGCCGCGGGUUGGUCGAACAGACCGCACUGGCGCGCUGCGUCUCAAUGCCGGGGAAGGGGCCAGCCUUCGGGGUGGCCGGGGAACCGGGUUUACUGUGAAGAAAU